Molecule: long non-coding RNA, 211 nt
Organism: Salarias fasciatus (jewelled blenny)
Lineage: Eukaryota; Metazoa; Chordata; Actinopteri; Blenniiformes; Blenniidae
Exons: 4
Source: RefSeq, a predicted model, not a curated record
CUGCACACAACAACACCGUUGAGCAGCAGCGAGUCGACUGUCGCCCCCCGGCCUCGCCGUACAUGGAGACCCCCAGCUGGGCAGGAAACAGGUUGUGUAAGUCCGGAAGCUUCGCCGUCUUCGGGAACGUCGUCUACAGCGGCCUGCUGAACGACCACCUCUGGCACCUGGGGGUCCCGCUCUUCACCAGACUGGUAAGACGCCUCGCCGC